UGGGGAAUUUUGGACAAUGGGGGCAACCCUGAUCCAGCAAUGCCGCGUGUGUGAAGAAGGCCUUCGGGUUGUAAAGCACUUUUGUCCGGAAAGAAAACUUCGGGGCUAAUACCCCUGGAGGAUGACGGUACCGGAAGAAUAAGCACCGGCUAACUACGUGCCAGCAGCCGCGGUAAUACGUAGGGUGCGAGCGUUAAUCGGAAUUACUGGGCGUAAAGCGUGCGCAGGCGGUGCUGUAAGACCGAUGUGAAAUCCCCGGGCUUAACCUGGGAGCUGCAUUGGUGACUGCAGCGCUGGAGUAUGGCAGAGGGGGGUGGAAUUCCACGUGUAGCAGUGAAAUGCGUAGAGAUGUGGAGGAACACCGAUGGCGAAGGCAGCCCCCUGGGCCAAUACUGACGCUCAUGCACGAAAGCGUGGGGAGCAAACAGG
This 429-nucleotide ribosomal RNA is filed under the name bacterium. RNAcentral describes it as "partial 16S ribosomal RNA". It matches the Rfam family "Bacterial small subunit ribosomal RNA", at positions 355 to 776 of the family's 1533-position model. The record is from RNAcentral.